AUUCCAUGAUGGGGACAUUCUAGGAUGUAGUCUUGAAAGCGCUCCCAUGCUUCUGGAACAUAUUCAUCAUUUUGUUGCUGAAAACUUGUAAUCUUCCCACGGAGAGC
Small nucleolar RNA from Sorghum bicolor (sorghum), 107 nucleotides. It matches the Rfam family "Plant small nucleolar RNA R71". Rfam says of the family: R71 is a member of the C/D box family of snoRNAs containing the C (UGAUGA) and D (CUGA) box motifs. Multiple nearly identical copies of this snoRNA have been identified in Arabidopsis, and it is thought to function as a 2'-O-ribose methylation guide for 18S ribosomal RNA. The record is from Rfam. Lineage: Eukaryota; Viridiplantae; Streptophyta; Magnoliopsida; Poales; Poaceae.